Molecule: ribosomal RNA, 305 nt
Filed under: uncultured bacterium
Lineage: Bacteria
Description: bacterial SSU rRNA
Rfam family: Bacterial small subunit ribosomal RNA
Source: RNAcentral
AGACACGGGAGGCAGCAGUGGGGGAUAUUGCACAAUGGGGGAAACCCUGAUGCAGCGACGCCGCGUGGGCGAAGAAGCGCCUCGGCGCGUAAAGCCCUGUCAGCAGGGAAGAAAAUGACGGUACCUGAAGAAGAAGCCCCGGCUAACUACGUGCUAGCAGCCGCGGUAAUACGUAGGGGGCAAGCGUUAUCCGGAUUUACUGGGUGUAAAGGGGGCGCAGACGGCGAUGCAAGCCAGGAGUGAAAGCCCGGGGCCCAACCCCGGGACUGCUCUUGGAACUGCGUGGCUAGAGUGCAGGAGGGGCG